UAGGGAAUCUUCCACAAUGGACGCAAGUCUGAUGGAGCAACGCCGCGUGAGUGAAGAAGGCUUUCGGGUCGUAAAACUCUGUUAUUGAAGAAGAACGUGUGUGACAGUAACUGGUCAUGCAGUGACGGUAUUCAAUCAGAAAGUCACGGCUAACUACGUGCCAGCAGCCGCGGUAAUACGUAGGUGGCAAGCGUUGUCCGGAUUUAUUGGGCGUAAAGCGAGUGCAGGCGGUCUUUUAAGUCUGAUGUGAAAGCCUUCGGCUUAACCGAAGAAGGGCAUCGGAAACUGGGAGACUUGAGUGCAGAAGAGGAGAGUGGAACUCCAUGUGUAGCGGUGAAAUGCGUAGAUAUAUGGAAGAACACCAGUGGCGAAGGCGGCUCUCUGGUCUGUAACUGACGCUGAGGCUCGAAAGCGUGGGUAGCAAACAGGAUUAGAUACCCUGGUAGUCCACGCCGUAAAACGAUGAAUACUAAGUGUUGGAGGGUUUCCGCCCUUCAGUGCUGCAGCUAACGCAUUAAGUAUUCCGCCUGGGGAGUACGACCGCAAGGUUGAAAC
This 555-nucleotide ribosomal RNA is filed under the name uncultured bacterium. Its description in RNAcentral is "partial 16S ribosomal RNA". It matches the Rfam family "Bacterial small subunit ribosomal RNA", at positions 355 to 900 of the family's 1533-position model. The record is from RNAcentral.